Molecule: ribosomal RNA, 492 nt
Filed under: uncultured bacterium
Lineage: Bacteria
Description: partial 16S ribosomal RNA
Rfam family: Bacterial small subunit ribosomal RNA
Source: RNAcentral
AGUGAACGCUGGCGGUAGGCCUAACACAUGCAAGUCGAACGGCAGCACAGUAAGAGCUUGCUCUUACGGGUGGCGAGUGGCGGACGGGUGCGGAAUACAUCGGAAUCUACUUUUUCGUGGGGGAUAACGUAGGGAAACUUACGCUAAUACCGCAUACGACCUACGGGUGAAAGCAGGGGAUCUUUGGACCUUGCGCGAUUGAAUGAGCCGAUGUCGGAUUAGCUAGUUGGCGGGGUAAAGGCCCACCAAGGCGACGAACCGUAGCUGGUCUGAGAGGGUGGACGGCCACACGGGAACUGAGACACGGUCCAGACACCUGAGGUGGGCAGCAGUGGGGAAUAUUAGGCGAGGGGGGCGAGCCGGAUACAGCAAUAUCGAGGGGGUGAAGAAGGAGUGCGGGUUGUAAAGCGCUUUUGGUGGGAAAGAAGUGCAGCACGUUAAUACCGCGCGGUUCUGACGGUACCCAAAGAAUAAGCACCGGCUAACUUCGUG